AUUGUAGGAAAGUGCUCGAGAAUAAUUCCAUUAUCAUAUUAAAUUCAUAAAUUCAAUCAUUUGUGACAUCAACUUCUGGGACAUUCUGUAUAGUAAACUAGAAACAAACUUCCCAGCACCCCAAAGAAUAUUAAGUUCUUCGAUGCAAUAAUAAGAAUAAUUAAUGUUAAAAUGGGUACGAAUAUUAAUCGGACUCACUGUACAUUUGGAGUCUUAUAUUGUAUAGUAUGUACAGAUCAAAUUGUUGAACUCAAUAGUUGAACACAUUCUGAAUAGUAAUGACCUCCAUGGCUGGAAAUCGUGUUACGUUGCGUCGUAUUAAAUGUGUUCCAUUCGUCUCAUACAUUCAUGCUUCUCUCAAUCAUCUUUUACAGGAAUAUCCAAGCAUUUAUUAAUUCAACACUAUUUUACUAUUUAUAACAUAAAAUUCUUUCAAGAUACAGAUAUUUAUUUCAUUCACCGUGCUCAUUAAUCGAUGUACUAUUCUCUGUUGUACAUUAUAUCCUAUUAUUAUAUAUAUGUUCUAUUAUUUUAUUUUAAUGACAGUAUGAUUAUGAAUUUAUGUCAACAAUUAAAAGAUUCAAUGUUAAGGCGCUCACAAUCUAGAAAUAAAUAUUUUAAGUAAAAGUCAUUUUUGUCUGGUUCAUUCGAUUACGUCCGUAACACGUCUAUGUUGUCAUCAUUUUAUCAACAAUGAAAUUUAAAGGGUUUUAUACAGUAAAUACGUAAUUUGCACGUAAAUUGGCAUUUAUAGAAGGCACAAGUUCCUCGGAGUCUUAUUAUGAGUAAUAUAAUGCGUACUAAAUUAUAACUUCUGCUUAAUAUUAUAUCAUCGCGCGUUGAUAAUAGCAGAUUAUAACAAAAUGAUACUUUCGAAUCAGUUUCAAUCCGCGCGUUUUUUAAUCCGCACGGUGGUGCUAUCUAUGCGGUGGACAAACAGGUUACUAACUUCGUCCAGUCGAUGUCGACGGUACUCCAUUUUGUUUCACGAUGUUCCACACGCACGCAUGAAUAUAUUGUUCGCAGCACGAGAUAACAACAAAAAAUCAGCCGAGCAACGAAAGAGAAUAAUGCUGGACUUACCGCUUACGAAGCCUGUAGACUGCUGUUUCAGCCUUACCCCGGCGUUGCAGCCGAUGUCUAGGACUACGUAUUUCCGGUCCGGAUGGGACGACCGCCACACGCCACACGGAAGUUGCCGCACGCGUUCUUCCGCAGGAUGGAAUUGAAUCGAAGGACAACGAACCCGUAAAUAGUUCUGUUUGAUGAUGCAGUUACUAUGAUUAGUCAUCAGUGCUAUCGUCAUCUUCAAUUCCGAAACGUGUAACGCUUUGAGGUAAUGUAUUCUACAACAUUCCCUGACUUAUGUUCUUCGUAAGAUCACGUCAUUGUGCCCAAUGUCGUAAACAAAUGUGUCAGUGUAAUUAGAAUUUGCUAGAAAAAGUAAUAAAACAAUUUUCUUAAUUGAUUUCGGGAAAGACCAAUGAUUGUUAAAGUUCAUUUCAUUCUUUGAAAAGUUAUCGUUUUAAAAAUUACUAUUUCAACGAGCUGUCUUUGUUCAAAAUAGAAUAAUACAUAAAAAAUGCUUUUCCUUGAAUGAAAAAGCUAACCACUCGCGAACACAAAUUAACUCUUACUAGUAGUUAAACUCUUAGUAGUUAUGUAAUGUUAAAAAGUUUGUGAUAAAAACUGUUGGAUGAUAUUCCACAAGCUUCGAGUUUGUUGGAAUUUUAAAAAAUACAAAGUAAAAACAAAUUUACGUGGACUUGAAACGAAGUAUUAGAAAUUGUCGUACGACAUAAGAGCUGUCCACUAGAAGGGUAAAUAUUUCUCCGGCGCCUCGCAACUUAAUGCGAAUGGGGCGAGUAGGACAGCCGGCUUGUUCAUUUCUCCCUUUUAUCCCUUUCCUUUCCUCCCCCGAAAAUAUCCCGUUGAAUCUCCGGUCAGGUAGGCGUUCAACGUCCCCGGAAGUUGGUCGUAAGGCGAUCCCCUCUCGCAUCCGGCACAUUGAUCGCUGUCGUUUUCCAAGCCGUGGAAAUCCGCUUUUUCCGGAUUUUCGUAUCGGGCACAAAACGACGGCAAACUACGAAGGCGACAAAAGGAGCCAGCGGCGAGGCGUUUCUAAACCGGUGGAAAUCACAGCGAGAGGAAACGGCAGGACAAUUAAUACUUACACACGCUUCUUAUAUUGAAUGGCAACGAAAAUUGACGUAGAUCGCACGUGGUGUACGUGUUCGAACCAAUUUCCCGGGGAUUCUCCGCAAACACGAAUGAAGUCGUGUUUGAGUUUCACCGCUUUUGAAAGUCUCAAAGACCUCGCUGUUCUGAAUUUAUCUCGGGGAUUAGAGCUUUCCUUGUCGAUUCCCUCCAGAUAUACAAUUGGUCACAAAUAUAUUGGAACAUCUUAACAGAUUUGGAAAAACCAGAUUUUGUUUGACUUAUUUUGGAGCAUAUUUCAAUCUAUGAAUUAUUUUCUCGAAGACGGAUAAAAUAAUUGGAAUUGUAAUUUUAGUUAUGAUGCAUACAGAAAAUUUAUCUACAACAGCAUUAAAAUCGGCUAGUUUGAUAGAGUGUACACAGAGUAUAUUGGACAAGGAAUGCUAUUCAAGGGAAAUAUCGUAUGAUGUGUCGUACGAUUGCGACGGAAGUGCGUCUUAUAAGUGGCACCGUCAUAUCCGGAAUAAGAACUGAGGAAUUCUAAUUCAGUCGAGCCGGGUAUGGUUUGAAAUCUGUUUGCUCAGCCGCUUCUGCUCGUCCUUUUGUGCUUAUUGCCGGCCACUAUAAUCCGGCACAAGUCCUCUUCCGACAUAGUCAAUUACGAAUUAUUAUUGGAAACGUGGGAAUGUUCUCGCACGUUUACGAGCACGCCGCUUAUCAUUUCCGUGACUGGUGCUGCGCUGUAAUCUGACGCAAUUUCUCGCGAAAUCGAUAACGCCGGUAUUUUCGACUUCAUUGUUCUCUACACGGAACUGAAACCUCAAUAUUCCUCUACGUCCAUACGAUAUACAGGAGUAUGACGUUUAAAGUCAAUAGAAUUUUAUGUAUUACUUAAUACUGAUAACCUUCUUGAAAAUGAAAGAGUAAUUUCUAUUGAAUUGUAAUAAUGAUUGCGAAAAAAACCGUAAUUAUAAAAUCAGCCUUCAAAAUGAAACCGUCACGAAACAAAGUUAUCGUAAAUUUAUCAUUUAUGAGUGAAGUCUUAUGCUAAUUUGUAAUUUACAUUUUCAUAGCGAGUUUAUUCAAUGCCAACGUACGUCCAGUAAGUAGUUGAAGCAUAUUUCGCGCCUGUGUAUUUAACGAAUAUUUCAUCCCAAACAACAAAUUUAGCAAAUUGAGAAGUUAUUAUAUUAUUUUACAGCCUAUAACAAAAAAAAGUAUCUACGAAAUUAAUUUGUUUAAAUAUACAGGAAAUAAGAAAGGCAUGUCUAUUUUCAAUUUCUACAUUAUCUACGUUCAUCUGUUUUUAGCUAUCUCUUGGAAGAAUACCUAUUCCGUUUUACAAACAUGUACUACGCUAGAUUUAUUAUCCGUUUUAUGUAAACCGAAUUGCGGUAAUGAGGAUUCACUUCAGUGUCGCGGUUUCUAGAACGUUUCCGUUUCCGUGUCAAUAAUUCUAAUACAGCUUGGCAGACCGUUUUCUCGUUCAAGAGACAUAUACUUAAGAUCUUAUUACAGAGAUAUAUUAAAUUCUCUUAUAUCUACUUAUAAUGAGUUUACAGUUUUAUCAAUAUUUUUGUUUGGUAAGCAUGUUUAUAUGAAUUCGUAGAACAGAUUCCACGUAAUUUAGAAAUCCCGUGCAUUGUAUAAAAAUGAACUGUAGGAAAAUCCGGUUGAAAAAUAAUACUCGCUUUUAUGAAACUAUCGGUUCCUUGAAUUAAGCUAAUCGAAUGGAAAAAUGAAUAUCAUUGUUUUUAAUGCUUGCAAGAGAAGUCUAACAAUCCGUUGAACGUGAAUCUUGGAAAGUGUAAUUUACAACAAUGUAAAACAUGAUGACAGAAGCAAGAAGUCCCGUACGCGAUUGCAAUUUCCGUGGCUGCGCGCUACGGCAGCGAAACGUACAUUGCAUCCGGUUCGUCUCUAAUUCGCCGUUGAAAGUCCCACGGUCCACAGGAAGAACGAGUAAAACUGGAUCGUGGAGGAAGACACAUUAGGUUCUUCACUAGGGGAAAGCAUUACAUGUUUUUACGUACACGUUUGUUACUUAACGAAUCAAAGUACGUAUCUUCUUGGGAAGUGUUAUGCUCGUCUCUACCAGUUCGUAACUGGUCUUGCGUGAAAAAAGAUGUGCACGAAUAUUUAUGGACAUCACUGUAGCUUGGCACAUCUAGUGUAACCCUAUUACUGAGAAUACAUUCGAACAUAAGGUACUUCAUAUUGACGUCGAUAUCGACUACUAUCUCUACUGUCAGUACAGAUUCUCUCAAUGGCCUUCAGUCGUACUCAAUAAAUUCUCGUACAUACAAUUCCAAGGGGUUCAACCGUGUAACUGGGUCAUUCCGACAAGGAUACGUCGCGAAUUCAAUUUAUCGAGCUUGUGUUUGAAGCCACGAGAAAAACCUCGUACGAUGUCAAGAUCGGCUUGAAAUCCUUCUCAUUGAUUCGUAUGGAGAUCAUUUUCUCAUCGAUUCUUUAAACUUGCAAGACUUCUUUGUAUGUGUUAUUAAGUUAAGUUUGUUUUAUCUAAUUGCACAACCAGAUUUCUUGAAUUCAUUAAAAAUCUGACAACCUUAUCCAUUUUUUUUAUUAAGUGAUUACUUAAACACAUUUAGAUUUGGUCUUUAGAAACAGUGGAUAUCAUUCUCAUUAGUAUUACAUACAGUUAAGAGUAAAACUGAACAUACACUAUUUAAAAUUGAAUAACUUUUCUAAAAUCGGACCAAACGAGUUUUUGUAGUAGUUUAGGUGGAUUAGUUUACUAAUUAAACAAUCAAUGCAUUUUGCACUCUUUACGAGCGAUAAGUCCAUUCUGUAAUCUUAUUUUAUUAAUUGCAAAAAUUCUGGUUUAAUCAUAUUGUCUAAUACUUCAAAAAUUCUCCUCUUUGCAUUGUGCAUUCUUACUCCAAGGCAUAAAGGACGCUUCGCUCCUUUCAAGCUCUUCAUCUACCAUUAUCCAAUCCACAAUCAUGACCCUGUGACUCGUGCGAUGAAGCAAGAGUUCGUUAGCUCGGUUUAGAAACGUAAGAUCGGCUCGACCUCGAAAUCGAUAUUGCAAAGAACACGGUGACGCUGUCCUGGUCGGCCAAAUUCAACCUGUGCGCCUGGGGAGACGAAGGUCGAUGACGUAGAAAAAAGGUGGGAUGAUGCUUUAUCAUGCGGAGUGGUGUGCCGAUCCUUGGCUGGUUGCGAAAGAACCGAGAGUUGCUUCGUGAAACGACGACCAGGGAUUGGCUCGAUUUCCUCACGUGCCACACCGCGAGCUGACCGAUUGAGAAACGACCGUGAUAACGAGAUCCAUAAAAUCCAUCGUUUCUCUCGCCUCCUGUCGGAGAUCGUACGUUUUUCAUCAUUGUGCUAGUUGAAAAUUCUAUUUCGCCACAAUCUGAUCUGAUUCUAAAAUUUUCUGACAAUUAAUUCAAGCAAAUGUCUCCUUUCAUUAUCAGUACAUAUUUCUAUUAAUACGUUGUGCGAAAACUCUGUACGCGAAUCAAUUGAUUUCCUAGACAAAUCAAAAGUAUCUUUGUUAUUUCCACGAUAUAAGAAAGAGCAUUGAGAUAAUAUUAGAUAACACGUCUGUAGUAUUGUAUGACCCAUUCAACAUAAAUGAGCCGGAAGGGAGAUUUGGGAGGAAGGGGAAUAGAAUCCGAAAUAUGCUAUUAUUUGUCACAUACUAAUAAGUAUUUUACCACUAUAUGUAUACACAGAUGUGAUUUGUGCAUUGAAUGCGGUCUGAUUAGAAUUAAAAAUUUAGAUGUUAUUAAUACAAGUCAUCGCUGUAGUGAUCAUCUACUAUCAAUAACAGCUAUAUCGGUCUGAAUAUUCAUAAGGCAUAGGGCAUCCCAUUUUACAUUACACCAACAAAGAUUCCAUCAUUGCAAUUUCAAGCACUGCAUUCGCAGAAUGCCGCAUUUUAUUGGUAUUGCAAUUUUUAUUUAUUAAUAUCUCAGAAAGUAAUCAAGGCCCGGAGCUAAGAUUUUAUGUUCCAUGUAUCCUCCUGCUGUCCGCUAUAUCACUUAUGAUAGACUUUAUUCUGACGAAUGCGUCAUAUCGUACUUUAUCCAAUAAUACGAGCGACUGCGAGCUAGCGUAUACGGUUUCGCAAUAAUCAAUGAAACAUAUAUACUGUGAUAACAGUUAUUCAUAUUUUUGUUCUACUCGUCCGGUUGCAUCAGCGUGUUGCGACAGCGAGUUCGUGCGAAACUCGCGUCAAAAUCGCGUCUCGUCUCACGUUCCUGAAUGAACACGGCCAAUAUUCUUUCGUCUGGCAAAAUUAAUAACGUUCAAGGUAAACCUGGCUCGGCGACCAAAUCGAGUAACGUGAAACAAAUUAAAUUUCUUGCUGUUCAAAACUACGUAACAGGAGCGAAUGAGAAACUGCUGAAUAGCAGAUGAAAAGCGUAGGUAGGUGAUAAAAAUAUGUGUAAACCGUUGGAGCAGUUACAGUUCUUUUUUUCGAUUCGAUCUCGAAAUAGAAUUUUCACGAGUGAGGUAGUUUAUAUUCGAGGACAAUCGGAGGAUUGAACGUCUUCAAUAACGCAUGAUUUACCAAUCCUCCGCUCCUCUCGUUCGCUCUUUUUGCCUCUUGGUCGCCUCUCCUUCUGGCCUUCGUUCGGCCAGGUAAAACCUGCCAGGCUAGCCAAGUUCAAUGCGGGAAUGAAUGAGCGUACGAUACGAUACUACCUAAGAGACGAUUGCAGCAUGCCGCUUCCGGUAUGUGUUUGAGCAUUUCGAAAGAAAAUACGUUGGCGAACCCUUUGCUUGGGUGUGCUUUAUAGUCACGUUUGAGGAACACCUUUUAACGGCGAUAGUGUAAUCGGAGACCAGUCCCACCGAUAUAAAGAUACUUUGGAACUCGUUUGCAUAUUCUGAUAUUGCGGAAUUGAUCGAAAAAAGAACGGAGAAAGAUUUAGCAUUGUGUAAGUAACGAAUAGAACAUUAUUAAAAGUAAAAAAAUUAACGUUCCAAAUGUAAAAAUAGCAUUUUUGUAAUACAUGACCCUCUGAAAUAUGAACUCUGAUCCAAUAAUUUGUUUUUACGUAAACAAUAAUACCAAACAUUUGACUGUGAAAAUGUUCUUUUCUGAAUCGUAAUUGGCGCUAUAGAGGUUGACACUCUUCUAUACACGUGCCCGCUUGUUAAAAAGUGUUACGAAGCCGCCGAUGCAAUUACGCGCCUGUCCGCUCGCUUGGUUGCGCGCGUGCGGUUACGUUAAGAACAUGUAUACGUACAGACUUAUCUAAAAAAAAUAGUUCUCAUUGAAACUGAUAAAAAAUGUCCUAGAUCUCAAAAUUGACCGUAAAGUCAUUUUACAAUGACAACAAACCUUCCUUACCGAUAUUACGAGGUUGCUCAAUAAUUAUAGAAGAGGGACCGCGACUAACUGAUCAGAUUUUCUACUUACACUUGUUGCGCGUACGUAUAUAAGUGUAAAAAGUGU
Ceratina calcarata is the source of this 7594-nucleotide long non-coding RNA. RefSeq lists it as uncharacterized. The record is from RefSeq and is a predicted model, not a curated record. The transcript has 3 exons. NCBI's taxonomy places the organism in Eukaryota, Metazoa, Arthropoda, Insecta, Hymenoptera, Apidae.